RNAcentral lists this non-coding RNA (21 nucleotides) under Caenorhabditis elegans. The record is from RNAcentral. Lineage: Eukaryota; Metazoa; Nematoda; Chromadorea; Rhabditida; Rhabditidae.
UCUUUAUCGUCUUGCUCAAAU